This 531-nucleotide ribosomal RNA is filed under the name uncultured bacterium. RNAcentral describes it as "bacterial SSU rRNA". It matches the Rfam family "Bacterial small subunit ribosomal RNA", at positions 979 to 1509 of the family's 1533-position model. The record is from RNAcentral.
CCUUGACAUGCUGAGAACUUUCCAGAGAUGGAUUGGUGCCUUCGGGAACUCAGACACAGGUGCUGCAUGGCUGUCGUCAGCUCGUGUCGAGAGAUGUUGGGUUAAGUCCCGUAACGAGCGCAACCCUUAUCCUUAGUUACCAGCACGUAAUGGUGGGCACUCUAAGGAGACUGCCGGUGACAAACCGGAGGAAGGUGGGGAUGACGUCAAGUCAUCAUGGCCCUUACGGCCAGGGCUACACACGUGCUACAAUGGUCGGUACAAAGGGUUGCCAAGCCGCGAGGUGGAGCUAAUCCCAUAAAACCGAUCGUAGUCCGGAUCGCAGUCUGCAACUCGACUGCGUGAAGUCGGAAUCGCUAGUAAUCGUGAAUCAGAAUGUCACGGUGAAUACGUUCCCGGGCCUUGUACACACCGCCCGUCACACCAUGGGAGUGGGUUGCUCCAGAAGUAGCUAGUCUAACCUUCGGGGGGACGGUUACCACGGAGUGAUUCAUGACUGGGGUGAAGUCGUAACAAGGUAGGCGUAGAUGA